GAUGAACGCUGGCGGCGUGCCUAAUACAUGCAAGUCGAGCGAACAGACGAGGAGCUUGCUCCUCUGACGUUAGCGGCGGACGGGUGAGUAACACGUGGAUAACCUACCUAUAAGACUGGGAUAACUUCGGGAAACCGGAGCUAAUACCGGAUAACAUGUUGAACCGCAUGGUUCAACAGUGAAAGACGGUCUUGCUGUCACUUAUAGAUGGAUCCGCGCCGCAUUAGCUAGUUGGUAAGGUAACGGCUUACCAAGGCAACGAUGCGUAGCCGACCUGAGAGGGUGAUAGGCCACACUGGAACUGAGACACGGUCCAGACUCCUACGGGAGGCAGCAGUAGGGAAUCUUCCGCAAUGGGCGAAAGCCUGACGGAGCAACGCCGAGUGAGUGAAGAAGGUCUUCGGAUCGUAAAACUCUGUUAUUAGGGAAGAACAAAUGUGUAAGUAACUAUGCACGUCUUGACGGUACCUAAUCAGAAAGCCACGGCUAACUACGUG
Molecule: ribosomal RNA, 497 nt
Filed under: uncultured bacterium
Lineage: Bacteria
Description: partial 16S ribosomal RNA
Rfam family: Bacterial small subunit ribosomal RNA
Source: RNAcentral